AGAGUUUGAUCAUGGCUCAGAACGAACGCUGGCGGCAGGCCUAACACAUGCAAGUCGAACGCCCCUUUCGGGGGGAGUGGCGCACGGGUGAGUAACGCGUGGGAAUCUGCCCUUUGGUCUGGAAUAACCCUGGGAAACUAGGGCUAAAACCGGAUAAGCCCCGCGAGGGGGAAAGUUUACGCCGAAGGAGGAGCCCGCGUCCGAUUAGCUAGUUGGUGAGGUAAGAGCUCACCAAGGCAACGAUCGGUAGCUGGUCUGAGAGGACGAUCAGCCACACUGGGACUGAGACACGGCCCAGACUCCUACGGGAGGCAGCAGUGGGGAAUAUUGGACAAUGGGCGCAAGCCUGAUCCAGCCAUGCCGCGUGAGUGAUGAAGGCCUUCGGGUUGUAAAGCUCUUUUGGCGGGGACGAUGAUGACGGUACCCGCAGAAUAAGCCCCGGCAAACUUCGUGCCAGCAGCCGCGGUAAGACGAAGGGGGCAAGCGUUGUUCGGAAUUACUGGGCGUAAAGGGCGCGUAGGCGGUUCUUUAAGUCAGGCGUGAAAGCCCUGGGCUCAACCUGGGAGUGGCGCUUGAUACUGGGGGACUAGAGAGUGGGAGAGGUUGGUGGAAUUCCCAGUGUAGG
Molecule: ribosomal RNA, 625 nt
Filed under: uncultured bacterium
Lineage: Bacteria
Description: bacterial SSU rRNA
Rfam family: Bacterial small subunit ribosomal RNA
Source: RNAcentral